UACCUUGUAGUAUAUAAUAACAAUUACUAUAAACUGCAACUUUAUAAAAGCAAUUAGCCAAGGUAU
This 66-nucleotide transfer RNA is filed under the name Rectidens sumatrensis. RNAcentral describes it as "tRNA-Cys". The record is from RNAcentral. Lineage: Eukaryota; Metazoa; Mollusca; Bivalvia; Unionida; Unionidae.